AGACUCGUAGCUCAGUGGGAGAGCAUCGCCUUGACACGGCGGGGGUCGGCGGUUCGAAACCGCCCGAGUCUA
This 72-nucleotide transfer RNA is filed under the name Deltaproteobacteria bacterium. RNAcentral's name for it is "tRNA-Val". It matches the Rfam family "tRNA". Rfam says of the family: Transfer RNA (tRNA) molecules are approximately 80 nucleotides in length. Their secondary structure includes four short double-helical elements and three loops (D, anti-codon, and T loops). Further hydrogen bonds mediate the characteristic L-shaped molecular structure. tRNAs have two regions of fundamental functional importance: the anti-codon, which is responsible for specific mRNA codon recognition, and the 3' end, to which the tRNAs corresponding amino acid is attached (by aminoacyl-tRNA synthetases). tRNAs cope with the degeneracy of the genetic code in two manners: having more than one tRNA (with a specific anti-codon) for a particular amino acid; and 'wobble' base-pairing, i.e. permitting non-standard base-pairing at the 3rd anti-codon position. Lineage: Bacteria; Pseudomonadati; Myxococcota; Myxococcia. The record is from RNAcentral.